Molecule: long non-coding RNA, 202 nt
Filed under: Ananas comosus (pineapple)
Lineage: Eukaryota; Viridiplantae; Streptophyta; Magnoliopsida; Poales; Bromeliaceae
Description: long non-coding RNA (ACOM_LNC028014)
Source: RNAcentral
AACGGAAUUGUGAGCUUGUGACAACAAACCGAAGACCUUUAAUUUUCGGAUCGUGGAUUGGAGGCUGUUCGGGUGGUCGCGCGCGAGUUCGGGCCGAACCGGACAACAGGUGCCGCGGGAGGCCGAUUGCAAGUGACAACGAGCAAUCGGAGAGUAAGUUAAGGUGGAUUGUGCUUACCAAAGCGACUAGGUCGCCCCGCAU